UCUUCGGCAAUGGGCGAAAGCCUGACCGAGCGACGCCGCGUGUGCGAUGAAGGCCUUCGGGUUGUAAAGCACUGUCGUGGGGGAGAAAGGGAAACUUGAUCGACCCCAGGAGGAAGCUCGGGCUAAGUUCGUGCCAGCAGCCGCGGUAAGACGAACCGAGCGAACGUUGUUCGGAAUCACUGGGCUUAAAGGGCGCGUAGGCGGGCGAUCAAGUCAGGGGUGAAAGCCCCCAGCUCAACUGGGGAAGUGCCUCUGAUACUGAUCGUCUCGAGGGGGAUAGGGGCGUGCGGAACUUCCGGUGGAGCGGUGAAAUGCGUAGAUAUCGGAAGGAACACCGGUGGCGAAAGCGGCGCGCUGGAACCCUUCUGACGCUGAGGCGCGAAA
RNAcentral lists this ribosomal RNA (384 nucleotides) under uncultured bacterium. RNAcentral's name for it is "bacterial SSU rRNA". It matches the Rfam family "Bacterial small subunit ribosomal RNA", at positions 362 to 758 of the family's 1533-position model. The record is from RNAcentral.